UACGAAGGGGGCUAGCGUUGCUCGGAAUCACUGGGCGUAAAGGGCGCGUAGGCGGCCAUUCAAGUCGGGGGUGAAAGCCUGUGGCUCAACCACAGAAUUGCCUUCGAUACUGUUUGGCUUGAGUAUGGCAGAGGUUGGUGGAACUGCGAGUGUAGAGGUGAAAUUCGUAGAUAUUCGCAAGAACACCAGUGGCGAAGGCGGCUCACUGGCCCGGUACUGACGCUGAGGUGCGAAAGCGUGGGGAGCAAACAGG
Molecule: ribosomal RNA, 253 nt
Filed under: uncultured bacterium
Lineage: Bacteria
Description: partial 16S ribosomal RNA
Rfam family: Bacterial small subunit ribosomal RNA
Source: RNAcentral